AAACACCUAAGAGUAAAACAAUCGGUUGUUUCGACAAAACAACAGGUUGUUUUUCACUUAGUUUGAAAAACACUUUAAUCUUAAAAGAUUUGAAAACACUUUAGCUUUAGAUUCAACAAAGAGUGGAUUACACAGAUAAACUACCCAGACCCUAUCCUAAACACAACAACAACUUCAGCCUUCCAUCAAACACUAGGAUUUGGAUUCUUCAAAGC
RNAcentral lists this long non-coding RNA (215 nucleotides) under Phaseolus vulgaris (common bean). RNAcentral describes it as "long non-coding RNA (PVUL_LNC002901)". The record is from RNAcentral. Lineage: Eukaryota; Viridiplantae; Streptophyta; Magnoliopsida; Fabales; Fabaceae.